AACGCUGGCGGCAUGCCUUACACAUGCAAGUCGAACGGCAGCACGGGAGCAAUCCUGGUGGCGAGUGGCGAACGGGUGAGUAAUAUAUCGGAACGUGCCCAGUCGUGGGGGAUAACGCAGCGAAAGCUGUGCUAAUACCGCAUACGAUCCAUGGAUGAAAGCGGGGGAUCGCAAGACCUCGCGCGAUUGGAGCGGCCGAUAUCAGAUUAGCUAGUUGGUGAGGUAAAGGCUCACCAAGGCGACGAUCUGUAGCUGGUCUGAGAGGACGACCAGCCACACUGGAACUGAGACACGGUCCAGACUCCUACGGGAGGCAGCAGUGGGGAAUUUUGGACAAUGGGCGCAAGCCUGAUCCAGCAAUGCCGCGUGCAGGAUGAAGGCCUUCGGGUUGUAAACUGCUUUUGUACGGAGCGAAAAGGCUCUCUCUAAUACAGGGGGCAUAUGACGGUACCGUAAGAAUAAGCACCGGCUAACUACGUG
RNAcentral lists this ribosomal RNA (480 nucleotides) under uncultured bacterium. Its description in RNAcentral is "bacterial SSU rRNA". It matches the Rfam family "Bacterial small subunit ribosomal RNA", at positions 32 to 507 of the family's 1533-position model. The record is from RNAcentral.